RNAcentral lists this unclassified non-coding RNA (895 nucleotides) under Hevea brasiliensis (rubber tree). Lineage: Eukaryota; Viridiplantae; Streptophyta; Magnoliopsida; Malpighiales; Euphorbiaceae. The record is from RNAcentral.
AAAACAUUUUGAGCUUUAGCAGUAACAGAAGGGCAAAUUCAGUAACAGAUUUAAGUAACUGCGAUAUAUAUAUUUUUCCAUCUGUAGAUUAUCUACAGAACAUCCUGGCGAUAACAUGUACAAGACCAACAUGAAAGCAGAACUCAAGACAAAUGAGGAGAGAAAUUGAAACAAGCUGAAGAUAUUUUGGCUUCAAAUUGACUUUGCAUAACUAUGAUAUAUACAUGAUGUUAGCAAUAAAAGAACGGAAUAUAUUUACUUUCAUUUCUCAAUCCAAAAUUGGUGCAUAGGUCAGUAAGUUAGAGGAAACUAGCCCUAUAGAAUUCAUCAUCUCUGAAGAUGUCUAAAAACUGAAAAUAAGAUCAAUGAAGACUUGUUCGCUGCAUGGGAUUGUGAGACCACCCAUAGGAUGAUUGAAUCCAAACUCUUCUUCAGCUUGACUCAGCAAGUUCUGAAAGGAAGGAUUUUUCAAGUACGAUAUUGGAACAGUGAAUCUCUUCUUUUGAGUUUCUCCAACAUAGACAGCAAAGUGGCCUUUUGGAACAUUAGCAGUACUUUCCUGUGACAAGAGAAUCCUCCUUACAAUUUGUUUAGCAUUCACGAUCCUUGGCAAGCGAAUACCCAUUAUCAAAUUCUUGAUCAAGAACUCCUUGGGAUGUUUGAAUUUGGAAGACUGGAAAUCAAAGCAAGUUUGGCUCUGGGUUGCUAUCCUUGCUACUCAUACAUAUACAAGGCAAAAACUUUCACCAUACCGUCGAUUGGAUUGGGUGGAAAUUGCAAUGUGGUCCCCUGAAAAGACACAUUUCAUAAACAAUCACAUGAUUUGCCUCCCAACUAAUUUGAAGAUCAAGAAGAGAUUCAAGAAAUUUCUCUCUCUGCUAUAAUUCAUCUUGGC